Molecule: ribosomal RNA, 253 nt
Filed under: uncultured bacterium
Lineage: Bacteria
Description: partial 16S ribosomal RNA
Rfam family: Bacterial small subunit ribosomal RNA
Source: RNAcentral
GACGAAGGAUGCAAGCGUUAUCCGGAUUCAUUGGGUUUAAAGGGUGCGUAGGCGGACUGGUAAGUCAGUGGUGAGAUCUCUUUGCUUAACAAAGAAACUGCCAUUGAUACUGCUAGUCUAGAGUAUAGAUGACGUUGGCGGAAUAUGACAUGUAGUGGUGAAAUACUUAGAUAUGUCAUAGAACACCGAUUGCGAAGGCAGCUAACGAAACUAUAACUGACGCUGAGGCACGAAAGUGCGGGGAUCAAACAGG